AGUGAACGCUGGCGGUAGGCCUAACACAUGCAAGUCGAACGGCAGCACAGUAAGAGCUUGCUCUUACGGGUGGCGAGUGGCGGACGGGUGAGGAAUACAUCGGAAUCUACCUUUUCGUGGGGGAUAACGUGGGGAAACUUACGCUAAUACCGCAUACGACCUACGGGUGAAAGCAGGGGAUCUUCGGACCUUGCGCGAUUGAAUGAGCCGAUGUCGGAUUAGCUAGUUGGCGGGGUAAAGGCCCACCAAGGCGACGAUCCGUAGCUGGUCUGAGAGGAUGAUCAGCCACACUGGAACUGAGACACGGUCCAGACUCCUACGGGAGGCAGCAGUGGGGAAUAUUGGACAAUGGGCGCAAGCCUGAUCCAGCCAUACCGCGUGGGUGAAGAAGGCCUUCGGGUUGUAAAGCCCUUUUGUUGGGAAAGAAAAGCAGCAGGUUAAUACCCCGCUGUUCUGACGGUACCCAAAGAAUAAGCACCGGCUAACUUCGUG
This 492-nucleotide ribosomal RNA is filed under the name uncultured bacterium. RNAcentral describes it as "partial 16S ribosomal RNA". It matches the Rfam family "Bacterial small subunit ribosomal RNA", at positions 29 to 507 of the family's 1533-position model. The record is from RNAcentral.